AUGGACGAAAGUCUGAUGGAGCACGCCGCGUGAGUGAAGAAGGGUUUCGGCUCGUAAAACUCUGUUGUUAAAGAAGAACAUAUCUGAGAGUAACUGUUCAGGUAUUGACGGUAUUUAACCAGAAAGCCACGGCUAACUACGUGCCAGCAGCCGCGGUAAUACGUAGGUGGCAAGCGUUGUCCGGAUUUAUUGGGCGUAAAGCGAGCGCAGGCGGUUUUUUAAGUCUGAUGUGAAAGCCUUCGGCUCAACCGAAGAAGUGCAUCGGAAACUGGGGAACUUGAGUGCAGAAGAGGACAGUGGAACUCCAUGUGUAGCGGUGAAAUGCGUAGAUAUAUGGAAGAACACCAGUGGCGAAGGCGGCUGUCUGGUCUGUAACUGACGCUGAGGCUCGAAAGUAUGGGUAGCAAACAGGAUUAGAUACCCUGGUAAGUCCAUACCGUAAACGAUGAAUGCUAAGUGUUGGAGGGUUUCCGCCCCUUCAGUGCUGCACGCUAACGCCAUUAAGCAUUCCGCCUGGGGAGUACGGCCGCAAGGCUGAAAACUCAAAGGAAUUGACGGG
Molecule: ribosomal RNA, 559 nt
Filed under: Lactiplantibacillus plantarum
Lineage: Bacteria; Bacillati; Bacillota; Bacilli; Lactobacillales; Lactobacillaceae
Description: bacterial SSU rRNA
Rfam family: Bacterial small subunit ribosomal RNA
Source: RNAcentral